AUACGUAGGGGGCGAGCGUUGUCCGGAAUGACUGGGCGUAAAGGGCGUGUAGGCGGCCUGAUAAGUUUGGAGUGAAAGUCCUGUUUUCAAGAUGGGAAUUGCUUUGGAUACUGUCGGGCUUGAGUGCGGAAGAGGUAAGCGGAAUUCCCAGUGUAGCGGUGAAAUGCGUAGAGAUUGGGAGGAACACCAGUGGCGAAGGCGGCUUACUGGACUGUAACUGACGCUGAGGCGCGAAAGUGUGGGGAGCAAACAGGAUUAGAUACCCUGGUAGUCCACACUGUAAACGAUGAAUGCUAGGUGUAGGGGGUAUCGACCCCUUCUGUGCCGCAGUCAACACAAUAAGCAUUCCGCCUGGGGAGUACGGCCGCAAGGUUGAAACUCAAAGGAAUUGACGGGG
Molecule: ribosomal RNA, 397 nt
Filed under: uncultured bacterium
Lineage: Bacteria
Description: partial 16S ribosomal RNA
Rfam family: Bacterial small subunit ribosomal RNA
Source: RNAcentral